Molecule: ribosomal RNA, 497 nt
Filed under: uncultured bacterium
Lineage: Bacteria
Description: partial 16S ribosomal RNA
Rfam family: Bacterial small subunit ribosomal RNA
Source: RNAcentral
GACGAACGCUGGCGGCGUGCUUAACACAUGCAAGUCGAACGGUGGAGCGCCUUUCUUUUUGGGGUGCGUGGGUGAGUGGCGAACGGGUGCGUAACACGUGAGUAACCUGCCCCCUUCUUCUGCAUAACCGCAUGAAAGUGUGGCUAAAACGGGAUAUUCUGGGUCUGUCGCAUGAUGGGUCUGGGCACGAUCUUGUUUCGGUGGGGGAUGGGCGCGCGGCGGAUCAGCUUGUUGCUGGGGGGAUGGCCUACCAAGGCGGGUAUGGGUAGCCGGUGGGCGAGGAUGAUCAGUCACACUGGAAGUGAGACACGGUACAGACGCCUACGGGAGGCAGCAGUGGGGAAUAUUGGACAAUGGGCGGAAGCCUGAUCCAGCCAUGCCGCGUGUGGGAAGAAGGUCUUCGGAGUGUAAAGAACUUCAAGUUGGGAGGAAGGGCAGUAAGUUAAUACGUUGCUGGGUUGACGUUACCAACAGAAGAAGCACCGGCUAACUACGUG